This 547-nucleotide ribosomal RNA is filed under the name uncultured bacterium. RNAcentral's name for it is "partial 16S ribosomal RNA". It matches the Rfam family "Bacterial small subunit ribosomal RNA", at positions 355 to 895 of the family's 1533-position model. The record is from RNAcentral.
UGGGGAAUUUUGGACAAUGGGCGCAAGCCUGAUCCAGCAAUGCCGCGUGCAGGAUGAAGGCCUUCGGGUUGUAAACUGCUUUUGUACGGAACGAAAAGCCUCUCUCUAAUACAGGGGGUGAUGACGGUACCGUAAGAAUAAGCACCGGCUAACUACGUGCCAGCAGCCGCGGUAAUACGUAGGGUGCAAGCGUUAAUCGGAAUUACUGGGCGUAAAGCGUGCGCAGGCGGUUUUGUAAGACAGUGGUGAAAUCCCCGGGCUCAACCUGGGAACUGCCAUUGUGACUGCAAGGCUGGAGUGCGGCAGAGGGGGAUGGAAUUCCGCGUGUAGCAGUGAAAUGCGUAGAUAUGCGGAGGAACACCGAUGGCGAAGGCAAUCCCCUGGGCCUGCACUGACGCUCAUGCACGAAAGCGUGGGGAGCAAACAGGAUUAGAUACCCUGGUAGUCCACGCCCUAAACGAUGUCAACUGGUUGUUGGGGAUUUAUUUCUUCAGUAACGAAGCUAACGCGUGAAGUUGACCGCCUGGGGGAGUACGGCCGCAAGGUU